Long non-coding RNA from Myotis daubentonii (Daubenton's bat), 886 nucleotides. RefSeq lists it as uncharacterized. NCBI's taxonomy places the organism in Eukaryota, Metazoa, Chordata, Mammalia, Chiroptera, Vespertilionidae. The record is from RefSeq and is a predicted model, not a curated record.
UCUGGAAGCAUUUUGUGUAUGAGGUCUUCUCUAAAGUAUCCUCCUAUUCUCACUUCAAAUCCAACGUAUCAGAUACUUCCUCUUCUGGGUCUACAUAGCAUUCCAUAUUUAAUUUAAUCUCAUACAAUAUUGCAAAUCUUUUGUUUGCAUACUUAUCUGCAUUUGUUAGUCAGCCACUUUAUGCAGAGACCUUAUCCUAUCUAUCUUUGUAACCCGUCACCAAGAUAAAGCCUGGCACAAAGUUGGUGCUUAAAUGUUGGCUAAAUGAGCAAAUGAAUACAUUUAUUUGAACAAAUUGGGUAUCUUAGUAAGGAUAUUAAAUGACAGAAGUGGGAACCUGAAUGGAUACUCUGCCUACUCCAUUAUCUUAACUAGUGUAAUUUUUAAUGUUGGGGGAUAAAUCUCUGACCCAAGGUAGGAAAAGUAAAUGGCUAAGAAGUGGGCCUUCUAACCCUCUACUCUAUAUUCCCCUUACUUGUUUCUUCAGUUGUGUCCCUUUUCUUGUGCUGAAAGGAAUUCUGAUAUCCCAGUAGAUACAAGUUGAAGAAGGCCAUCUUAGCUCUUCCCUGACCUCUUCUGGAAUGUCCAGGCUGGAGCACCACACUGGUAACCAUGCUUGGGAAGUUUCUAUCGGCAUAUCUUCAAAUUCACUGAUUCUUUCCUUGAUUGUGAUCAAUCUACUAAGUCCAUCAAAGGCAUUCUUCAUUUCUCUGAAACAAGCUAGAGGAGGCUGGAGUUGGUUGUUUUCCUUCUCCCACAUUGGUUAGGCCAGCGGUGGGCAACCUUUUUGUGAGUGCGUGCCAAACCCAGCAAAAUCUCUGACUCAAAAUUCUUCUGCGUGCCAACCCUAAUUUUUUGAGAACAUGUUAACACCUACUUGAUAUCU